CCUGAGAAACCCAAAAGAUCGAAUGGGGAGAUUCAUCGUCAGCGAUCCCGGCGCUUUUGCGGUUCUUGAUGCCGGAGACUUCGGUCUCACGGCACAAGUCCGCAAACGUUCGCUUGCUGGGUGUCGUCGGCGUGCACUUCUCCCCUAGUAGGACGUCGCGACCCGUUGGGUGUCGGUCUACGGCCCGAGCGGGCGCCUGUCAUGUCAUGCUUCACGGCGUCAUGUGGCAGACCCUCGGUUGUCUGACCAGCUGCCCGGCGGUACUCGCACGGUAUCGAGUCGCAAAUAUUCGAACUGCGUCCGGCCCGCCGCAAGCGAGGCCAGUGUUACCCGGAUGUACGGACCUAGCGCCGUCACUGGGCCUGGCCAGCUGUUGGUUGGCGGUGUCCUGGGACUGGCUCAAAAUUAUGAUACCGGUCGGCGACGCUACUGCUUUGGGUACUUUCAGGACCCGUCUUGAAACACGGACCAAGGAGUCUAACAUGUGCGCGAGUCAUUGGGAACUCUUAAGCCUAAAGGCGUAAUGAAAGUGAAGGUCGGCCUUGCGCCGACCGAGGGAGGAUGGGCCGCGUCACGAUGCGGUCCCGCACUCCCGGGGCGUCUCGUUCUCAUUGCGAGAAGAGGCGCACCCAGAGCGUACACGUUGGG
This 648-nucleotide ribosomal RNA is filed under the name Lathiponus semiluctuosus. RNAcentral describes it as "eukaryotic LSU rRNA". It matches the Rfam family "Eukaryotic large subunit ribosomal RNA", at positions 420 to 813 of the family's 3401-position model. Lineage: Eukaryota; Metazoa; Arthropoda; Insecta; Hymenoptera; Ichneumonidae. The record is from RNAcentral.